Molecule: long non-coding RNA, 2067 nt
Filed under: Theobroma cacao (cacao)
Lineage: Eukaryota; Viridiplantae; Streptophyta; Magnoliopsida; Malvales; Malvaceae
Description: long non-coding RNA (TCAC_LNC003459)
Source: RNAcentral
AUCUAACAAGUGCUCUUGGUGUCAUGAAACUCCUCUUUCAAGUGAUCCCAAGCAUUCUUAGGCGAUUCAGAAGUCAUUAUUUUUGUGAAAAUAACAUUUGACACAACUGAAUGAAUGUAAGAAAAAGCCUUAAAUCUUUUCGCGACUUCUUCGUUGUAUUGCUUCAUUUGCGUCACUGUGCGGUUAGAUCUCUAUUCUGGUGACUCAUCUCCCACCUCCACAACCUCCCGUAAAUCAAAAACUUUGAGAUAUAUCUCUAUUUUCACGACCUAAAUGGCAUAAUUUUCUCAUGUAAACACAAACAUAGUAAUAACAUUAAAGCUUAAGGAAGCUAAGGUUAAGGUGCUCUAUUUUAAAAGAAGUUAAGAACAAAAAUUUCCAAAAAAAAUUGUUGGUGAUUUUUUACUUUCUCAAUUUCUUAAGAUCCUUUAGGGAGCUUUGAUAACAUGUUAAAAUUGAGACAGAGGUCACACUUCAUUAAUAAUCCCUAAUGGCCUUAAAUACAAGAAAAAGAAAAACUACCAUCUAACACAUGAAGAAAGGAAAAAACUACCAAAGAGUAGGAGUCAACAUGACCACAUAGCAAAUAACUACUGGUUCAUAAUUACAUGAUUAAAAACCACUAAUAAGACAUGCCCCUGAGCUUAAUUUACAUGAAACUCCCUGCAGCGAACUGUCAAAAGUGUGCAACUCUUCAAACUUGACCCCAAUUUCAACACACAAGAUAAAAGAAAAACAACAGUCGCCAUUACUUCUAUUUGGACUAACAGAUAUUCUCAAGUGUUUCAUUUGCCAGAUGCCCCAGCACUUGGUUCCAAAGCUUGCUAAUUCUGGUUUUGCUGCGCUAUCAAUUCACUAAAUAUAUAAAAAGAACAAAAAUAAAGAGGAAUUUAGUCUUGUCACCAAUGUUAUCAAAAUUUUUUGAAAAACAAACUUUACUUUUUCUUAAUUAUUCUGUUAAAUCUUCCAAUAUAUUAUGUUUAAGAAUGAGGAAUUCGGCCACUUAAUCUUAAUUUAUUUGCAGCAUGUUAAUUUCGCUUUAACUUCGUAUAAUAUUUCUCCUUCCAUGCUAAUCAGUACAUAUAAUAAGUAGCUUAGUUCCUUAUGCAGACCAUGCUUGGGGAGGGGGGUUGUCUCCCUCUGCUUCGUCCUGCAAUACCUCCAUGUUAAAAGGGUAGUUUUUGUACAUUUGUCGAUUAAUGAAAGCUUAGAAUUUGCCUUUCAGAAAAAAAAAUUUUUUCUCCUGCCAUGUUUUGUCUCUGUUAUGCUUUUCCUUCUUUUUCUUUUUUAGUCCUUUAAGCAGUAAGUAUAUUGGGCUGAAGCUUCUGUCUAUUUGUGAACAUUUUCAAAGCCAGCUAAAAGUUUAAGAUUAGGGGUCUGCCAGUGCCAAAAUAUGAGCCUGUUUAGGUUGGUUUAACGAGAAAAUACUUAAAAUGAAAAUUAUGGUGAAUAUGGAACCAUAUUCAAGAGAAGUUGUUCUUGGAGAUUCAAGGGGUCAUGGGAAAUGGAGAGAAGUUGGAAAAGAUGCCAUAUCUUAAAGCAGUGGUCCUAGAAUUUUAGCUUGUAUGUGUGGCAUAUGUAUGUACUGGAUAUUGCAUUCUGGUAUGCUUCACAUGCAGGAUAUGUUCUUCUGGUGUGUGGAUAUACAAGGUUAUCUACGAUGGGGCUGUUUCUGGAAAUUGCUCAUAGGCAGGGCAUGCUUAUUUCUGAUGUUUGCAUAGUUUGGAUUGUUAUGUGGAAGGGGUCAUGUUCUGAUAAACUUGUGAUGUUAUCAGUUACCAGCAGGAUAUAUUUGAGUUGUAACGUGUUAUUGGAAGGGUGUGAUGUAAUCUGUGCAAUGGCUUUAAGCCAAGAUGCAUGUCCCUUCGAUAUGAAAUGAAUUGGCAUAUCAAAAAAAAGAAAUGGUGAAUAUGGAACCAACCGUAGAGCCUGAGUGAGCGCAGCGGCUUUGGCGAAAUCAUUGUUCUCUCGUGCUUUUAGGAUUUGAAACAUGAUGCAAAGGCGGAGUCUGGUACAGGCACUCUGUUUCAUAAUGAUCAUCGUCUCGGCAUGAAGAUUUCUGCAUUC